This 1013-nucleotide ribosomal RNA is filed under the name Staphylococcus aureus. RNAcentral describes it as "partial 23S ribosomal RNA". It matches the Rfam family "Bacterial large subunit ribosomal RNA", at positions 545 to 1561 of the family's 2925-position model. The record is from RNAcentral. Lineage: Bacteria; Bacillati; Bacillota; Bacilli; Caryophanales; Staphylococcaceae.
AGAACCUGAAACCGUGUGCUUACAAGUAGUCAGAGCCCGUUAAUGGGUGAUGGCGUGCCUUUUGUAGAAUGAACCGGCGAGUUACGAUUUGAUGCAAGGUUAAGCAGUAAAUGUGGAGCCGUAGCGAAAGCGAGUCUGAAUAGGGCGUUUAGUAUUUGGUCGUAGACCCGAAACCAGGUGAUCUACCCUUGGUCAGGUUGAAGUUCAGGUAACACUGAAUGGAGGACCGAACCGACUUACGUUGAAAAGUGAGCGGAUGAACUGAGGGUAGCGGAGAAAUUCCAAUCGAACCUGGAGAUAGCUGGUUCUCUCCGAAAUAGCUUUAGGGCUAGCCUCAAGUGAUGAUUAUUGGAGGUAGAGCACUGUUUGGACGAGGGGCCCCUCUCGGGUUACCGAAUUCAGACAAACUCCGAAUGCCAAUUAAUUUAACUUGGGAGUCAGAACAUGGGUGAUAAGGUCCGUGUUCGAAAGGGAAACAGCCCAGACCACCAGCUAAGGUCCCAAAAUAUAUGUUAAGUGGAAAAGGAUGUGGCGUUGCCCAGACAACUAGGAUGUUGGCUUAGAAGCAGCCAUCAUUUAAAGAGUGCGUAAUAGCUCACUAGUCGAGUGACACUGCGCCGAAAAUGUACCGGGGCUAAACAUAUUACCGAAGCUGUGGAUUGUCCUUUGGACAAUGGUAGGAGAGCGUUCUAAGGGCGUUGAAGCAUGAUCGUAAGGACAUGUGGAGCGCUUAGAAGUGAGAAUGCCGGUGUGAGUAGCGAAAGACGGGUGAGAAUCCCGUCCACCGAUUGACUAAGGUUUCCAGAGGAAGGCUCGUCCGCUCUGGGUUAGUCGGGUCCUAAGCUGAGGCCGACAGGCGUAGGCGAUGGAUAACAGGUUGAUAUUCCUGUACCACCUAUAAUCGUUUUAAUCGAUGGGGGGACGCAGUAGGAUAGGCGAAGCGUGCGAUUGGAUUGCACGUCUAAGCAGUAAGGCUGAGUAUUAGGCAAAUCCGGUACUCGUUAAGGCUGAGC